RNAcentral lists this transfer RNA (544 nucleotides) under uncultured Prochlorococcus sp. Its description in RNAcentral is "16S-23S ribosomal RNA intergenic spacer". The stretch from base 214 to 286 matches the Rfam family "tRNA". The record is from RNAcentral. Lineage: Bacteria; Bacillati; Cyanobacteriota; Cyanophyceae; Synechococcales; Prochlorococcaceae.
CAGGGAGACAACAAAAUGUUUAAUAUUAAUUAUUUUGUCACCUUAGGUCGAUCGGUAUCUCACGUUUUUAAUUUAUUAAGAAUUUCAUUUCCUAAGUUUUUUCUAGGUCACACCCAUUAUUUUUCCUGGGCCAUUAGCUCAGGUGGUUAGAGCGCACCCCUGAUAAGGGUGAGGUCCCUGGUUCAAGUCCAGGAUGGCCCAUAUCUCUAUGUUGGGGGUAUAGCUCAGUUGGUAGAGCGCCUGCUUUGCAAGCAGGAUGUCAGCGGUUCGAGUCCGCUUACCUCCACUGAUUACCACCUCUUCCAUAAUCUAUGAGAAGGAAAUGUUUUGAGUAGUGAUCAAAUUCUGAACGAAGCUAGCUUCCUAAUGAAAUCAUUAAGAUGCUGGACUCAUUGAAUUAAUUUCAUUGUUUUCAGAGAACCUUGACAACUGCAUAGAUUAUUUUUAAAGACAAUAAGCAUCUUUAAUGAUGCAGAUUUAUUAUUUGUGCGAAUGCAUUAAUAACAAUUCUAUUAAGCUGAUGCUUCAAUUUUUGAAGUUAUUG